RNAcentral lists this ribosomal RNA (402 nucleotides) under uncultured Methylobacterium sp. RNAcentral's name for it is "bacterial SSU rRNA". It matches the Rfam family "Bacterial small subunit ribosomal RNA", at positions 355 to 774 of the family's 1533-position model. Lineage: Bacteria; Pseudomonadati; Pseudomonadota; Alphaproteobacteria; Hyphomicrobiales; Methylobacteriaceae. The record is from RNAcentral.
UGGGGAAUAUUGGACAAUGGGCGCAAGCCUGAUCCAGCCAUGCCGCGUGAGUGAUGAAGGCCUUAGGGUUGUAAAGCUCUUUUGUCCGGGACGAUAAUGACGGUACCGGAAGAAUAAGCCCCGGCUAACUUCGUGCCAGCAGCCGCGGUAAUACGAAGGGGGCUAGCGUUGCUCGGAAUCACUGGGCGUAAAGGGCGCGUAGGCGGCCAUUCAAGUCGGGGGUGAAAGCCUGUGGCUCAACCACAGAAUUGCCUUCGAUACUGUUUGGCUUGAGUUUGGUAGAGGUUGGUGGAACUGCGAGUGUAGAGGUGAAAUUCGUAGAUAUUCGCAAGAACACCAGUGGCGAAGGCGGCCAACUGGACCAAUACUGACGCUGAGGCGCGAAAGCGUGGGGAGCAAACA